RNAcentral lists this ribosomal RNA (470 nucleotides) under uncultured bacterium. Its description in RNAcentral is "bacterial SSU rRNA". It matches the Rfam family "Bacterial small subunit ribosomal RNA", at positions 335 to 798 of the family's 1533-position model. The record is from RNAcentral.
ACUCCUACGGGAGGCAGCAGUGGGAAUCUUGCGCAAUGGGCGAAAGCCUGACGCAGCGACGCCGCGUGAGCGAUGAAGGCCUUCGGGUUGUAAAGCUCUGUGGGGAGAGAAGAAUAAGCGUAGGUUAAUAUCCUGCGUGAUGACGGUAUCUCCUUAGCAAGCACCGGCUAACUCUGUGCCAGCAGCCGCGGUAAGACAGAGGGUGCAAACGUUGUUCGGAAUCACUGGGCGUAAAGCGGGUGUAGGCGGCUUGGCAAGUCGGAUGUGAAAUCCCGAGGCUUAACCUCGGAAGUGCACUCGAAACUGCCUGGCUAGAGUCCUGGAGAGGAAGGUGGAAUGCUUGGUGUAGAGGUGAAAUUCGUAGAUAUCAAGCGGAACACCGGUGGCGAAGGCGGCCUUCUGGACAGUGACUGACGCUGAGACCCGAAAGCGUGGGGAGCAAACAGGAUUAGAUACCCUGGUAGGUCAGU